RNAcentral lists this ribosomal RNA (414 nucleotides) under uncultured microorganism. RNAcentral describes it as "bacterial SSU rRNA". It matches the Rfam family "Archaeal small subunit ribosomal RNA", at positions 459 to 872 of the family's 1478-position model. The record is from RNAcentral.
CAGCCGCCGCGGUAAUACCGGCGGCCCGAGUGGCGGUCACUAUUAUUGGGCUUAAAGCGUCCGUAGCCGGGUUGGGAAGUCCUCCGGGAAAUCUGGCCGCUUAACGGUCAGAAUGCCGGAGGAUACUCCCAGCCUAGGGAGCGGGGGAGGCCGAGGGGAUUCCCGGAGUAGGGGUGAAAUCCUAUAAUCCCGGGAGGACCACCUGUGGCGAAGGCGCUCGGCUGGAACGCGUCCGACGGUGAGGGACGAAGGCCAGGGGAGCAAACCGGAUUAGAUACCCGGGUAGUCCUGGCUGUAAACGAUGCGGACUUUGUGUCGGACAAGCUAUGAGCUGGUCCGGUGCCGGAGGGAAACCGUUAAGUCCGCCGCCUGGGGAGUACGGCCGCAAGGCUGAAACUUAAAGGAAUUGGCGGG